AAAAAAAAAAAAGUUACACAUUUGUUACUGUGCUUGCUAGAAAAUCAAAAGAUUCCUUGUUCUCCCUAACUUUUCAAUCUGUUGUCAGCAGCAGCACCUCUUCACACAAAAUGCACAUAGCAGGAUAUCCAUACUGCAAGAUGUGAAGCCCAAAAUACCAUCUGCAACACCUCAACAACCCAAAAGAACAUCCGCAUCAUAUUAGUU
This 207-nucleotide long non-coding RNA is filed under the name Jatropha curcas. RNAcentral describes it as "long non-coding RNA (JCUR_LNC001644)". Lineage: Eukaryota; Viridiplantae; Streptophyta; Magnoliopsida; Malpighiales; Euphorbiaceae. The record is from RNAcentral.